UACGAAAGGGGCUAGCGUUGUUCGGAAUUACUGGGCGUAAAGCGCGCGUAGGCGGGCUAGCAAGUGGGGGGUGAAAUCCCGGGGCUCAAACUCGGAACUGCCUCCAAAACUGCUAGCCUAGAGGAUGUGAGAGGAUAGUGGAAUUCCGAGUGGAGAGGUGAAAUUCGUAGAUAUUCGGAAGAACACCAGUGGCGAAGGCGACUGUCUGGCGCAUUUCUGACGCUGAGGGGCGAAAGCGUGGGGAGCAUACGGG
RNAcentral lists this ribosomal RNA (253 nucleotides) under uncultured bacterium. Its description in RNAcentral is "partial 16S ribosomal RNA". It matches the Rfam family "Bacterial small subunit ribosomal RNA", at positions 524 to 776 of the family's 1533-position model. The record is from RNAcentral.